This is a long non-coding RNA of Venturia canescens, 2336 nucleotides long. RefSeq lists it as uncharacterized. The transcript has 2 exons. Lineage: Eukaryota; Metazoa; Arthropoda; Insecta; Hymenoptera; Ichneumonidae. The record is from RefSeq and is a predicted model, not a curated record.
AUUAAAAAUUCCAACCUGAAACGGUGUUAAUCUCUUUUGAAAUGCUGUAACUUUCUUAAAAGACACGAGGCUGUAACGAAAAUUAUUUUAGACCUUGGAAACGGACGAUCUCGAAACUAGAGUAGACAACAUUGUUUCCUGUUUUUUUUCACUAGCUUUCUCAAAACAAACAACGAAAAAUUCCAUUUUAUCGUCGACCAUUAGCUAGAAGCAAAAUGAAAAACCUAUUUUUUUGCAGUAUUAAAAAAUUCAUUGGGGAUUUGUGCUUUAACAGUCGAAAAUGUCUCUGAACAUCCUGGCUAAACUGAAUCGAAGCCAAGCUUCGUUCUUACAGCACAUUACUUGAUCCCUCUCGAAAUUCCAUUCCAACUGAAUAACGUGAAAUAAUCAUUAAAAUCAAUUGAAGGCUUCAUCGAAAUAAACUUAAGAUUUUUUGCUUGCUGUGUCGAAUGGAUGUCAACCGGAUGGAUGCCCGUUUAAGAUUCGAGAGAAACGACACCUUGCAUUUCUCACCGAAGCACACGAGAGCUAUCCUCUGAGCAAAUCAUAACUCUCGUACAGCAAAGCAGGCCAACGUAGUGUAGUGAGAUGAGCAGAGCAAAGCAUAGACCGGUCGCUGUUCCGCGGUAUCAAUAUUCAUCAGGCUCCUAUGUUCGAGGCAUGGCAAAUUCGUGGAUUAGCCUGAAACUUCACGCCAACGAAAGCCUACGUAUCUAUGACGAUAUAUACGUGUACUACAUACGAAUAAAGUGAGGCCCUCGACAGCAACAUUGAACGCGUUGGGCCCCCGAGCUCAUGUUCCAACGCUGACCCCGAUCACGUUCUACGAAAGCAGCGCAUACGACGAUGGGAGGUGAAUCAAGGGGUAGGUUCUCUCCCUGCCGGAUUCUAAUCCGGGACGGUGUGACGUCAUAUUGCAUAACAAUUAAUCAAGGGGCGAUAACAGCUAGCGCGAAACCACGAGUUACGGAGCAGUCCUUCUCUCUUACUCUCAGUAUCUCUUCUCUCCUCGCUGUACCGUAACCUAUAGCUUUACUUUCUACAUAUACAGACAUUCGUAUGUAUACACGCAGCAUUGUAUAGAAGCAUAGCAAAACCGACGUUGGUUACCGUGAGCGCACAUGCCGCUACCACGGAGUGGGUAGUCCUGAUAAUCAUUUCACCGGGCAGCUUAAAGUGCCAGUAGUUAACGCUAAGCCGAUUUAAAAGCGAUUUCAUAUCCGGAAUAUUAUACCUAAACGAAAGCGAGAUCUCUCCUGCAGCCCCGCCACCAUGAGUUCGUUUCCAACAAUGUUUCGACACUUUUUCCUGCCCAAGAACACGGUGUAUGAUGACACGGAUAUCUUUCCUGUCUAGAAGGAUAAUGAACCAUCUCUUUUUUUCAUUAGAUCAAGAUUCCAAAGUGCAUCGCUAUGAAUAUGAAUGUUUAAAUAGCAAAACAAAUACCAAAUUCGGCUUACUCUUAUAAUUAGUAUUUACAAAGCUUAGACGAGGAUAGCACAUCUACGUUUACCAUUCCACUAGAAAGAUUAUUCUCGACGAAAAUGCGGUCGUCCAUGAUGAUGUCGAAUGGACUUGCAACGAGAACGAAAAGAACUAUACGAGCGUGUGAAGAGUGACAAUGAGCAAAAACGGAAAAAUACAAUCCAAGUGUAGAGGGCGAAAUGUAACAGCUCUUCGCGUUAAGUACCGGCUGCACCCUCAAACUGUGCCACUAAUAAGCGGUGGCACCAGCCACAUGCUAAUGCAUAAUGCUGAUCAAACAACUGUUUAAGCAGACCCGAGUUAAGUGUGCCCAUUCUUUAAGCUACCCCUCUGCUUAUAAUGUCCUACCCUUGUUUCUCUUGUGUCUGACCCUGCCUCUGACUCGCUCUCUUCCUCGUCUUUCUAUGUGGACCCAGACGGCUACGCGGUGGCGAUGCUUUUGUCCGUCGUUGCAACUCUGGCCCUAAGGGCGGGUGUCGCUCGAAACAACUCACGAGGAAAAACCUGUGCGAUUGUGUGUUUUAUUCAAGCUUUUUAAAUAUCGGGUAUAAAGUUAGCCGCGUAACAAUAAAUCUUAAACAGGACAAAUUACGAGGUCGUUUAUUUUGCAGAUUUGUCUAAAAACUUUUCCAGGAGACAUUCAUAGAAAAUUGAUCGUUUCCCACUUCCUACUUCGAUCACGUAAAAUCUGCGGUAAACAUUUUUCUGAGUUUUGUAACAAAUUUGUUUAUUUUAAUCAACAGAACUCGCGCAAACAAUGAAAUUUAUAUUCUAACGAUGGAUCUAUUUUCGAUGUAUGGGAUUUUGAUUAGCUCUUGCGAAUAGCAUUCGUCGCAAUCUGUUUUUUUUUU